This 253-nucleotide ribosomal RNA is filed under the name uncultured bacterium. Its description in RNAcentral is "partial 16S ribosomal RNA". It matches the Rfam family "Bacterial small subunit ribosomal RNA", at positions 524 to 776 of the family's 1533-position model. The record is from RNAcentral.
UACGUAGGGUGCAAGCGUUGUCCGGAAUUAUUGGGCGUAAAGAGCUCGUAGGCGGUCUGUCACGUCGGGCGUGAAAAUCCAGGGCUUAACCCUGGACCUGCGCUCGAUACGGGCAGACUAGAGUUCGGUAGGGGAGACUGGAAUUCCUGGUGUAGCGGUGAAAUGCGCAGAUAUCAGGAGGAACACCGGUGGCGAAGGCGGGUCUCUGGGCCGAUACUGACGCUGAGGAGCGAAAGCGUGGGGAGCGAACAGG